Molecule: long non-coding RNA, 466 nt
Organism: Lycium ferocissimum
Lineage: Eukaryota; Viridiplantae; Streptophyta; Magnoliopsida; Solanales; Solanaceae
Exons: 2
Source: RefSeq, a predicted model, not a curated record
AGAAAAUGCACCCACACAAUUUAGCUCAAUUCUCACAAUCAGCUAAGCCAAAGUCCGUUAACAUGGCUAAUAAGUCCCUUUCUCACAAGCUUGUUUUCUUUUUUGGUCUUCUUCUUGUUUCACUGGCCGUGGAUUCAUUUUGGUCCUCAAAUACUCAAGCAAUGGCUAUGAGAGACUUACCAUUAGAAGCACAAGUGAUUAAGCAGGUUGUCCUCCCAGAUCUUCUAAAAUAUUAUAAAGGAUGUGACAAACCUUGCAAUUCUCAUGCAGAUUGCAAUUACAAAGGUGGACCGUGUACACAAUGUCGGCUCAAAUAUGGCAAGCGAUCCAAGUUGACCACAUGCCAAAUUUGGAAAAAUUGACCGAUCCAUUUGAAUGUCGUAUGAAAAAAGUAGUGUUUUCUAUGAUCUUCUGUAUUUCCUUUCUUUUUUGGUUUCUCAUUGAAUAAAGAAGUAGUUCUUAGUUA